This 75-nucleotide transfer RNA is filed under the name Deltaproteobacteria bacterium PRO3. RNAcentral's name for it is "tRNA-Gln". It matches the Rfam family "tRNA". Rfam says of the family: Transfer RNA (tRNA) molecules are approximately 80 nucleotides in length. The record is from RNAcentral. Lineage: Bacteria; Deltaproteobacteria.
UGGGGCGUAGACAAGCGGUAAGUCACCGGAUUUUGAUUCCGGCAUUCGUAGGUUCGAAUCCUACCGCCCCAACAA